AUUGAACGCUGGCGGCAGGCCUAAUACAUGCAAGUCGAGCGAGCGGCGGACGGGUGAGUAAUGUCUGGGAAACUGCCUGAUGGAGGGGGAUAACUACUGGAAACGGUAGCUAAUACCGCAUACCAUCAGAUGUGCCCAGAUGGGAUUAGCUAGUAGGUGGGGUAAAGGCUCACCUAGGCGACGAUCCCUAGCUGGUCUGAGAGGAUGACCAGCCACACUGGAACUGAGACACGGUCCAGACGCCGACGGGAGGCAGCAGUGGGGAAUAUUGCACAAUGGGCGAAAGCCUGAUGGAGCAAGGCCGCGUGUGUGAUGAAGGCCGUCGGGUUGUAAAGCACUUUCAGCGGGGAGGCGUUACCCGCAGAAAAAGCACCGGCUAACUCCGUGCCAGCAGCCGCGGUAAUAC
Molecule: ribosomal RNA, 406 nt
Filed under: uncultured bacterium
Lineage: Bacteria
Description: partial 16S ribosomal RNA
Rfam family: Bacterial small subunit ribosomal RNA
Source: RNAcentral